CGGUGUUCUGUAGCAACCACUGCGACAACAGCACAUCACCCGGAACAUCCGCUGUACAUGAUCCUGAACAUGGCAGAUACGCCAUUCAUGCCUGACGUCAUGAAGCCUUCCGAUAAUGUCAAUCUGGUCUCGCGGACCUCGAUGCUAAAGAAACCAUGCUGGCAAUACUCACAUCGCUGUGCCUGCUGACUUUUGUAGUUCUUGUGGUCUCCUUCGUGAUUACUUCCAGCAGUCCUGGUGAGUACUCGCUCCUCUCUUUGAAUAUGUAAGGGUAAA
Molecule: long non-coding RNA, 276 nt
Organism: Rhipicephalus microplus (southern cattle tick)
Lineage: Eukaryota; Metazoa; Arthropoda; Arachnida; Ixodida; Ixodidae
Source: RefSeq, a predicted model, not a curated record